UCAGUACGGGAGGCAGCAGUGAGGAAUAUUGGGUCAAUGGGCGAGAGCCUGAACCAGCCAAGUAGCGUGCAGGAUGACGGCCCUAUGGGUUGUAAACUGCUUUUGUAUGGGGAUAAAGUCAAUCACGUGUGAUUGUUUGCAGGUACCAUACGAAUAAGGACCGGCUAAUUCCGUGCCAGCAGCCGCGGUAAUCUGA
Molecule: ribosomal RNA, 196 nt
Filed under: uncultured bacterium
Lineage: Bacteria
Description: partial 16S ribosomal RNA
Rfam family: Bacterial small subunit ribosomal RNA
Source: RNAcentral